This is a non-coding RNA of Pelodiscus sinensis (Chinese soft-shelled turtle), 700 nucleotides long. The record is from RefSeq and is a predicted model, not a curated record. NCBI's taxonomy places the organism in Eukaryota, Metazoa, Chordata, Testudines, Trionychidae.
CCCCGUUCUUGUUCCAACCACAAUGCAUAUUGUUCUGUUGAUAGAAACGUGGGAUUUCUCAAAUCCUCUUGGACCACAGGGAGCUGGAUGUGAAGGUGGUAGGUCCCGCCUGCAAAUCUGGCUUCCAGGGUGAAUGUCCCGCAGGAAGGACCAGUGGCCAGUCAGGACUGAACAGGCGGCAGGUGUGUGUUGGGAGCGGAAACAAUGGGUCACCUUGACAUGAAUGGGUGAUAAGCGGCACACAAUGUGCAAGUCAAGAUCAAUUCAUGCACGCUCCUCCCUGAGCCGUGCUCUGCACCGGGAAACGUUCUAUAAAUACGGGGAUUGUUCCCAGCCAUGUUUAAAGCCUCUCUUUGUUUCUCUUCUCUCCAGGCCUGCUGAGAUCCCAGCCGAUCUCCAGCCAUGAGGAUCUUCUGCCUUGCGCUUGUGGUUCUCCUCGUGGUCUCCUUGGCUUCCCCAGGGUUCGGGGUCGCUCAGGACACACAGUACUGUGUGAAAUUCGGUGGACAGUGCAAACCGGCCUGUACCUACACCAUCAAUAGGAUCGGAUGCUGCCGCAAUGGGGUCUGGGUGUGCUGCAAGCAGUAGAACCAGCAGGAGUCCCGAGACACCCAGCCCAACGGGAGAAAACUCAACAGAACAAGCUGUUCUCCUCCGGAGACUCCCGGGCUCUUAUUAAACAAGUGGAUCAUGCCAGGGA